ACCCGCUGAAAUUUAAGCAUAUAAGUAAGUGGUGGAAGAAAAAAUAAACAUGAUUCUUUUAGUAAUGGCGAAUGAACAAAGACAUGGUCAUUUUGAAAAUUGUGGUCUUAGAUCAUGAAUUGUAUUUUCAAAAUGCAUUGCUAACACAACUGCACAUGUUUGUUUAUUGGAAAGAACAUCACAAAGGGUGACAAUCCCAUGUGUCAUGUGUAUGUUUUGUGUACAGCGUGCAUUAUAUGAAUCACAUUCAUUGACAAUUGAAUGCAAAUAGAAUGGUAAAUUUCAUUUAAUCAUAAAUAUGUUGUUGACAACUUAUAGCAAACAAAUACCAUGAGGGAAAUGUGAAAAGGAUUUUGAAAAGAAAAUUAAAAGAGCUUGCAAUUGCUGAACUGAUAAGCAAACAAAACAUACGUGUGUAUGCAAGAUUGUUGUAAUGCUUAGCAUCCUAUGCAAGGCUAUUGCAAUGAUUUUUUGUAUAGUGAUGCUACCUUUUUUUAGAAUUUGGAAUGUCUUUUUUUGAGUGUGAAUGGAAUUUUGUUUGUUAGCAAAGGAAUGCACUUUUAGAUUCAUUGUUUGAUUUGAUUUAAAAAUGUUUGUGACACGUGUCUUUGUUUUAGUUUCAUGCUUCAACCAAGGACAUUGUGUUUGAUCCAUAUCAGCAAUACAUGUUUUGUUUGACCCGUCUUGAAACACGGACCAAGGAGUUUAAUUUAUGUGCAAGAUCAUGAAACUGACAUUUGUAUAUCAAUGAAAAUAUUUUGUUGGGAUUUGUGCACCAACAACUGAUAAGUUGUGUGACGCGACGUUGAGUUUGAGCAUGUUGAUUAAAACCCGAAAGAUGGUGAACUAUGCCUGAACAGAAUGAAGUCAGAGGAAACUCUGAUGGAAGUUCGUAUCGAUACUGACGUGCAAAUCGUUCGUCAUACUUGGGUAUAGGGGCGAAAGACUAAUCGAACCAUCUAGUAGCUGGUUCCCUUCGAAGUUUCCCUCAGGAUAGUUGGAAUUGUGCAGUUCUAUUUAGUAAAGCGAAUGAUUAGAGGAAUUGGGAACUCUUUUGUUCUUGACCUAUUCUCAAACUUUAAAUGGGUAAACUGCAAUGGUUGCUUUGUGUGAACUUUUGGAAACAAAUGUCAAUACCAAGUGGGCCAUUUUUGGUAAGCAGAACUGGCGAUGAGGGAUGAACCUAACGUUAGGUUAAAGUGCUAAAUUUCUUGCUCAUUUGAUACCAAAAAGGGUGUUGGUUCAUUUUGACAGCAGGACGGUGGUCAUGGAAGUCGAAAUCCGCUAAGGAAUGUGUAACAACUCACCUGCCGAAUGGACUAGCCCCGAAAAUGGAUGGCGCUCAAGCAGGUGACUGAUGCCUAVCCAAUGUAACAUAACAAUAUUGUGUAGGAGGGCAUGGUUGGUUUGUGGUGAAGCAAUUGUGUGAACCUUUUGUGAAACAACUUCUAAUGC
This 1455-nucleotide ribosomal RNA is filed under the name Coolia malayensis. Its description in RNAcentral is "eukaryotic LSU rRNA". It matches the Rfam family "Eukaryotic large subunit ribosomal RNA", at positions 23 to 1445 of the family's 3401-position model. Lineage: Eukaryota; Dinophyceae; Peridiniales; Ostreopsidaceae. The record is from RNAcentral.